This 233-nucleotide ribosomal RNA is filed under the name uncultured bacterium. RNAcentral describes it as "partial 16S ribosomal RNA". It matches the Rfam family "Bacterial small subunit ribosomal RNA", at positions 1268 to 1500 of the family's 1533-position model. The record is from RNAcentral.
CAAAACUCUAAAAAACGUACUCAGUUCAGAUUGCAGGCUGCAACUCGCCUGCAUGAAGUCGGAAUUGCUAGUAAUCGUAGGUCAGCAUACUACGGUGAAUACGUUCCCGGGCCUUGUACACACCGCCCGUCAAACCAUGAGAGUUGGCAACACCCGAAGUCGGUAGUCUAACCGCAAGGAGGACGCCGCCGAAGGUGGGGUUGAUGAUUAGGGUUAAGUCGUAACAAGGUAUC